GCAAACUUGGUCAUUUAGAGGAAGUAAAAGUCGUAACAAGGUUUCCGUAGGUGAACCUGCGGAAGGAUCAUUUUGGAUGAAGAAGUUGUUCCGUCUCGUCUCUACAAGGGACGGGACGGGACGACGCACGCAACCUGUUGGAACGAACGAGUCGAGAGAGGUGGGUGGGUGGUGGUGGGUGGGUGGACGUGCAUGCAUGUGUGUGUGUAUAUCUGCCCACCCACGGCCGCCUGCUUUGCUUUACUCUACUCUUUACUUUACUUUCUGAGAAACGUUUGAGGAUGACCGAUUGACAGAUGUAUUUUAUGGAACGAGAGUGAUCAUUUUUAACAAUGGAUCUCUUGGCUCUUGCAUCGAUGAAGAACGCAGC
RNAcentral lists this unclassified non-coding RNA (370 nucleotides) under uncultured fungus. Its description in RNAcentral is "partial contains small subunit ribosomal RNA, internal transcribed spacer 1, and 5.8S ribosomal RNA". The stretch from base 1 to 73 matches the Rfam family "Eukaryotic small subunit ribosomal RNA", at positions 1759 to 1831 of the family's 1831-position model. Lineage: Eukaryota; Fungi. The record is from RNAcentral.